Molecule: long non-coding RNA, 561 nt
Organism: Pan troglodytes (chimpanzee)
Lineage: Eukaryota; Metazoa; Chordata; Mammalia; Primates; Hominidae
Exons: 3
Source: RefSeq, a predicted model, not a curated record
GUUAAAGCUAGAGGAAGAAAACUUCAAAUAAGCAAAGAAGUAUUGAAGGAUGCCCAGGAAUUCCUUUGCAUUAAAAUCAAGAUGAGGAAGGAUAAAAAAGGCUACAGUACCUGCUCAUCAUAGGAGUUCAGUAAAUGUGUAUUGAUUGAGUGAAAAGAAUUUGAUUUAAGGAAACAAUAACACUCCAUCCUGGGCAACAGAGCAAGAUCCCGUCUCGAAACAAAACAGAACAAAACAGCAAAUUCAUAAAGGCCAGCAGUUUUCAAGUCUGGGGAAAUAGGCACAUGGACAGAUUAUAUGGAGGAGUGCAAAUGGGCUGUUCCCCGAUAGCAUCUUCUGGGAAGAAUCCAACCAAGAUAUAAAGCAGAUGAUGGUGGAUCGGCAAACUCUUUUCUAUGAAAAGAAAAACCAGAUAUACCAGGGACUGGAAAGCACCUGCUUGAAAACUGAUAUGAGCAUGUCUGAAUUUUUCCCUUAUAAGAGCCUGAGUAUUGUAACAGCUCUCUUGCACAGGGGGUUGAAAAAUAAAAAAAGAAGUUAACAUAAUUAAAAUGCUUGGAC